RNAcentral lists this long non-coding RNA (1589 nucleotides) under Brassica napus (rape). Its description in RNAcentral is "long non-coding RNA (BNAP_LNC010867)". The record is from RNAcentral. Lineage: Eukaryota; Viridiplantae; Streptophyta; Magnoliopsida; Brassicales; Brassicaceae.
CCAGAUUUAAUUGAGCUGAAGAUGGCGGACUCAUUGAGUAUGUCUCUUGAUGAAAUGGUUAAGAGGAGCAAGGCCGCUAAAAAGUCUGCUGGUAAAGGAGUUUCCCGAGGUGGAGCUAAAGGUGCUGGAAGAGGAGCUGGUGGACCUGUUCGCAGAGGUCCUCUAGCUGUGAAAGCUAGGCCGUCAUCAUUCUCAAACAAGGCAAGCUCACGAAUCUGGGAUCUUCUCUCUGUAUGAUUGGAAUUCUGAGUUUGCACACCAAAUAACGAAGCAUAGCGUUUGAUAAACGAGUCUCUAAAUGUUCUUGGAGAAGCACUUUUGAUUUUGCAUUCGCCUUAACACACUUUUAGCUUUCAAAACUUCCUCUGGGACUCAGACUACAAAGCUCUUCUAACAUCUACUAGUUUAUGGAGGAGUUUUCUUAGAAAAGCCUCUUCCUUGUCCUUGUCUACUUAGUGGUCUAUAUGGCCAAAUAUGAUGAUUUCAACAGGCCUAGAUGAGCAGAAGUUUUGUACUUUUAGUGGGGGAGCUGUAUUAGUCCACCUAGGGUCAUCUGGAUUGAUGACUUUCGUGGUGGUUGGGGGGAAUUUCAGCAAACUUAGAUAGUCUCUUUAAGUUGAGGAAUGUGCACGAUGCAUGAAGUUCAUGUUUUGCCUCUUGCUACAUCUGGAAUUUCUUUGGAGUCUGAUGGCUGUCUCAGUUUUUGAUUCUCCAAGGACUAUGUUUUUGGCAUCAGAGACUGUGAUAUCACCAGUGAGAUUUGUAUGAAGCUGAUCAAAAAUUGCUUGUUUAUCGCCGACCUUUGGUUUUUCCAAUUAAUAUCUAAAACAAAAAGACGGAAAACACCCCCAUAAUAAAAAUUAUUAACAAGUUUGCCCCCAUUGACCUAGACCUAUUUAAAUAUCUAUCUCCCUUGAGCCGAAAACACGUUCCCCCAUUCUCCCAAUUUCUCAAAGACGAUAAAUCCCUAAUUCCCCCAAUCGAUUCGCACGAGCCGAUUUCUACAUCUUCUUCGAUCCGUCUUUUGAUCUUUCAUCUGGUAAAAUUUCGAUUCGUCUUUUGCUAAUUGUUCAGCUAAUUUAUAUCCGUUGAUGAUUCGUCUGAAUGAAUUCGAUUCGUUUUCACUUUUCGAUUGAGAAUUUACGUCUGUUUUAGGUUUAGAUCAUAGGAAUCUGUAGAUCUAGCGCUUUGAGAUAUGAGUUUCCGUCGGAUCUUUGAUUUGUAUAUAUGAGGCUUGAAUUUAUAUCUCUAUGCGAUGAAUCUGUUGUUUGAUUUGUUAAUUUUGAUUGUAUUUUCCAGAUUUAAUUGAGCUGAAGAUGGCGGACUCAUUGAGUAUGUCUCUUGAUGAAAUGGUUAAGAGGAGCAAGGCCGCUAAAAAGUCUGCUGGUAAAGGAGUUUCCCGAGGUGGAGCUAAAGGUGCUGGAAGAGGAGCUGGUGGACCUGUUCGCAGAGGUCCUCUAGCUGUGAAAGCUAGGCCGUCAUCAUUCUCAAACAAGGCAAGCUCACGAAUCUGGGAUCUUCUCUCUGUAUGAUUGGAAUUCUGAGUUUGCACACCAAAUAACGAAGCAUAGCGUUUGAUAAACGAGUCU